AUUACUUGGAAAAAUAAACAUUUUUCAGAUAUUCGUACACUUGGCACAUAUCCAGAAUGGCAGGUUUAUAUUCCAAGGAGUGCUGGAUUUAACGCAGAAAAUUCGUGAUUUAACCGAACGAACGAUACAUUAUAUUUGAAAAUAUGGUUCUCCAGAUCCACCACGACCGUUACGGACACAUGUAUUACACGUAUCCGGAACAUACUAAAAUACCCUUCGACUAUGGCAUUAAAGGACCCCAAUUAUUUUACGAGCCAAACCGCACGAGGUGGAUAUACCACUGCUAUUGGCCUCAGGAAGCGUUAAAUUUCGCUACGGUCGAAGAUAAAAGACGUCGGAUGGCCCUUCGCAACCGAAUGAGAGAUGCCACAUUCAUCAGAAGCAAAAAUUACUAGAACCAGCACUUACCACCGGACCACAGCCGAAGAUCGAAAGCAUUUUUUAUUUUACAUAAAUUAUUUAUGAUUAAUUAAAAUAAAUGUAUGUUUUUAAAUGGA
Anthonomus grandis grandis is the source of this 497-nucleotide long non-coding RNA. RefSeq lists it as uncharacterized. NCBI's taxonomy places the organism in Eukaryota, Metazoa, Arthropoda, Insecta, Coleoptera, Curculionidae. The record is from RefSeq and is a predicted model, not a curated record. The transcript is spliced from 3 exons.